Molecule: ribosomal RNA, 2270 nt
Filed under: marine metagenome
Description: bacterial LSU rRNA
Rfam family: Bacterial large subunit ribosomal RNA
Source: RNAcentral
UCAAGCGUUUAAGGGCGUGUAGUGGAUGCCUUGGCACUGAAAGCCGAUGAAGGACGUGAUAUACUGCGAUAAGUUUCGGGGAGCUGUAUGUAAGCUUUGAUCCGAAAAUUUCCGAAUGGGGAAACCCACCACUUUAUGUGGUACUUUAAACUGAAUACAUAGGUUUAAAGAGACAACCUGGAGAACUGAAACAUCUAAGUAACCAGAGGAAAAGAAAUCAAUUGAGAUUCCGUUAGUAGUGGCGAGCGAACGCGGAGUAGGCCAGUAGUUUUGUUAGAAAAAUUUGAAUAGUUUGGAAAUGCUAACCAUAGAGGGUGAUAGUCCCGUAUGAGUAAUGUCUAACAAAAUUCUUGAGUAAAGCGGGACACGAGAAAUCCUGCUCGAAUAUAGGGGGACCACCCUCUAAGCCUAAAUACUCUUCAGUGACCGAUAGUGAACUAGUACCGUGAGGGAAAGGUGAAAAGAACCCCUAUUAGGGGAGUGAAAUAGAACCUGAAACUGCAUGCCUACAAUCAGUCCGAGCCCUUUUUAGGGUGAGGGCGUACCUUUUGUAUAAUGGGUCAGUGACUUAAUUUAUUAAGCAAGCUUAAGCCAUCUAGGUGUAGGCGCAGCGAAAGCAAGUCUUAAUAGGGCGAUUAGUUUAAUGAAUUAGACCCGAAAACGAAUGAGCUUACCAUGAGCAGGUUGAAAGUUGGGUAACACCAACCGGAGGACCGAACCAGUUGACGUUGAAAAGUCUUUGGAUGACUUGUGGUAAGGGGUGAAAGGCCAACCAAAUUCGUAGAUAGCUGGUUUUCCGCGAAAACUAUUUAGGUAGUGCGUCGAAUAAAUAGAUGUUUAGAGGUAGAGCACUAAAUGGGCUAGGGGGAAGAGAUUCUUACCAAACCUAAUAAAACUCCGAAUGCUAGACAUUGUUCUUCGGCAGACAGACUGUGGGUGCUAAGGUCCAUGGUCGAGAGGGAAAGAGCCCAGACCACCAGAUAAGGUCCCAAAAUCAUGAUUAAGUGUGAAAGGAUGUGGAAAUUCCUUAACAGCCGGGAGGUUGGCUUAGAAGCAGCCAUCCUUUAAAGAUAGCGUAACAGCUCACCGGUCUAAUAGAGUUUCUGCGCCGAAGAUGUAACGGGGCUAAAAUCAUGUACCGAAUCUGUGGCUUUGCAAAGUUUUCGAACUUUGUAAGGGGUAGCGGAACGUUCUGUAAGCCUGCGAAGGGAUACCCGUGAGGGAUCCUGGAGGUAUCAGAAGUGCGAAUGCUGACAUAAGUAACGAUAAACGAAGUGAAAAACUUCGUCGCCGAAAAUCUAAGGGUUUCUAUGCAAGGUUAAUCCGCGUAGAGUUAGUCGGCACCUAAGGCGAGGGCGAAAGCCGUAGUCGAUGGAAACAAGGUUAAUAUUCCUUGACCUGAUGGUAGUGACGGAUUUCGUAAGUUGUGAGUUCUUAAUGGAUUGAACUUGCCGCGAAGAGGUCCCAAGAAAUAGCUCCAUCAUGAAGACCGUACCCGAAACCGACACAGGUAGAUUAAUAGAGUAUAUUUAGGCGCUUGAGAGAAUGAUGUUGAAGGAACUCGGCAAAAUGCUUCCGUAACUUCGGGAUAAGGAAGACCCUUUUGUAGGCAACUAUAGAAGGGUGGCACAAGCCAGGGAGAAGCGACUGUUUAUCAAAAACACAGGGCUCUGCUAACACGUAAGUGGAUGUAUAGGGUCUGACGCCUGCCCGGUGCUGGAAGGUUAAUGCGGUUGGUGCAAGCUAACUUCUGAAGCCCCAGUAAACGGCGGCCGUAACUAUAACGGUCCUAAGGUAGCGAAAUUCCUUGUCGGGUAAGUUCCGACCUGCAUGAAUGGCGUAACGAUUUCUCCGCUGUCUCCAACAUCAACUCAGUGAAAUUGAAUUCUCCGUGAAGAUGCGGAGUUCGCGUAGUUAGACGGAAAGACCCCGUGCACCUUUACUGCAACUUUACAUUGGUGUUAGGAAAAACAUAUUUAGCAUAGGAGGGAGACUUUGAAGCAAAGGCGUCAGCUUUUGUGGAGUCACCAGUGAAAUACCUCUUUUGUUUUUCUUGACAUCUAACCGCUAGCCGUCAUCCGGCAGCGAGACAUUGUAUGGUGGGUAGUUUGACUGGGGCGGUCGCCUCCCAAAUAGUAACGGAGGCGUGCGAAGGUAGGCUCAGAACGGUCAGAAAUCGUUCGUAGAGUGCAAUGGCAUAAGCCUGCCUGACUGUGAGACUGACAAGUCGAGCAGAGACGAAAGUCGGUCAUAGUGAUCCGGUGGUUCUG